Molecule: microRNA precursor, 74 nt
Filed under: Myotis brandtii (Brandt's bat)
Lineage: Eukaryota; Metazoa; Chordata; Mammalia; Chiroptera; Vespertilionidae
Description: mir-9193 microRNA precursor family
Rfam family: mir-9193 microRNA precursor family
Source: Rfam by way of RNAcentral
GGCGGGGGGGGGGGGUCCCUCAGCCCAGAUUGUGAGAGGGCGUAGGCCAGGCUGGGAGACCCCACUGGUGCAGG